GACCCUUUCGUCUAGCAGGUCCAGGACACCACCCUUUCAUGGUGGCGACAUGGGUUCGAAUCCCUUAAGGGUCACCA
Molecule: transfer RNA, 77 nt
Filed under: Fluviispira sanaruensis
Lineage: Bacteria; Pseudomonadati; Bdellovibrionota; Oligoflexia; Silvanigrellales; Silvanigrellaceae
Description: Silvanigrellales bacterium RF1110005 tRNA-Glu
Rfam family: tRNA
About the family: Transfer RNA (tRNA) molecules are approximately 80 nucleotides in length.
Source: RNAcentral